GUCCCCUCGGGGGCGCGGCGGCGAAAGCCGAAGUGGGAUGAAACCUGGGGUCGCAGGUUCGAGCCCUGCCGGGGACACCA
This 80-nucleotide transfer RNA is filed under the name Actinomycetospora chiangmaiensis. RNAcentral's name for it is "tRNA-OTHER". The record is from RNAcentral. Lineage: Bacteria; Bacillati; Actinomycetota; Actinomycetes; Pseudonocardiales; Pseudonocardiaceae.